This 377-nucleotide ribosomal RNA is filed under the name uncultured eukaryote. RNAcentral's name for it is "SSU rRNA". It matches the Rfam family "Eukaryotic small subunit ribosomal RNA", at positions 567 to 990 of the family's 1831-position model. The record is from RNAcentral.
CCAGCAGCUGCGGUAAUUCCAGCUCCAAUAGCGUAUAUUAAAGUUGUUGCAGUUAAAACGCUCGUAGUCUGAGUUGGGGUGAGUGGUGGGGGUGUUGUGAAAUACUCUCCAACGCACACUUGUUCUGACAGCAAUGUCGGGGUUACUUUGAGGAAAUUAGGGUGUUCAAAGCAGGCGAUUGCUUGGAUACUGCAGCAUGGAAUAAUGGAAUAGGACUCGCGUCUUAUUUUGUUGGUUUGGAGAUGUGAGUAAUGAUGAAUAGGGACAGUUGGGGGCAUUGGUAUUCAGUAGUCAGAGGUGAAAUUCUUGGAUUUACUGAAGACUAACUAGUGCGAAAGCAUUUGCCAAGGAUGUUUUCAUUGAUCAAGAACGAAAGU